RNAcentral lists this ribosomal RNA (302 nucleotides) under uncultured bacterium. Its description in RNAcentral is "partial 16S ribosomal RNA". It matches the Rfam family "Bacterial small subunit ribosomal RNA", at positions 508 to 809 of the family's 1533-position model. The record is from RNAcentral.
GCAGUCGCCACGUGAAUACAGAGGGUGCGAGCGUUAAUCGGAUUUACUGGGCGUAAAGCGUGCGUAGGCGGCUUCUUAAGUCGGAUGUGAAAUCCCUGAGCUUAACUUAGGAAUUGCAUUCGAUACUGGGAAGCUAGAGUAUGGGAGAGGAUGGUAGAAUUCCAGGUGUAGCGGUGAAAUGCGUAGAGAUCUGGAGGAAUACCGAUGGCGAAGGCAGCCAUCUGGCCUAAUACUGACGCUGAGGUACGAAAGCAUGGGGAGCAAACAGGAUUAGAUACCCCAGUAGUCCCUGUCUUUUAUAC